This is a long non-coding RNA of Lycium barbarum (goji berry), 1047 nucleotides long. RefSeq lists it as uncharacterized. The transcript has 3 exons. NCBI's taxonomy places the organism in Eukaryota, Viridiplantae, Streptophyta, Magnoliopsida, Solanales, Solanaceae. The record is from RefSeq and is a predicted model, not a curated record.
GUCACUUAUAAGUUCUCUCAACUUAUCAAAUUCCUCUCUCAGGUAAGUCCGCAAUUCUUUCUUUCUUAACGACGAAUUGCAGUAUACUGCCCGGAAAAGAAACUGCCUCUUCUUUUUCUUAGUUUGGGCUAAACAAUCAUGAAACAAUCACUCUCUGUGAUCGGGUGCUUAAAGCUACAUCAAGGAUUACAUUUAUCAAAAGAACAAAGUCCACAUGAGCAUAAAACAACGCUUUGGCAUCCAGUAAUUUUAAAACUCUCUAUGUUCCCUGCCUUUCCGUAACGUUUCCACCUCCUCAAUCGCUCCUCUAUCUCUCUGUAUUCUUCCUUCACUGCACUUCUUGAGGCGAUGAAAUGGAAUAGAAGAAGACUAAACCAAGAUACUAUGGUCGUUUCUAAGACUAGACAAGGGCGAGGCUAUGAACUGGAAUAGAAGCAGACUAAGUUUCAUGAUCGACAAUGCCUGUUAUUUAGACACCUCCCACGUUAUGAUUGAUGGUGGAAGCGAACAUGGAAUUCUCUGGAAACAGUUCAAAUACUUAUACAUCCGAACCUUCAAAUCACAGAAGUUUUUGAUAGAUUAUGUAAAUAUUUUGUAAUCUCUUAUUUAGGUUAGAAUAUUUUGUAAUAUUUUAUACUCUCCUAUUUUGAGUAGGAUAUUUUUGUAUAUUAACCAAUUUAAGGAAUGAAAGGAAACUACGGAAAAUAUUCUUUCAUGGUAUCAGAAGUCUAGGGUUUUCUUUUUUUUCCUCUCCUCUCUCUUCUCCGUUGCCCUAGCUCCGUCGGUUGCCACCUCUUUUUUUUUUUUUCCGCCACCAAGUCAACCUCUAAAUCAUCCUUCCAUCCCGCUUUCGCCGUCUCCAACAUCCGUAAUCACAUUCCUGCGAUUCUUGAAAUGGAGAAUGCACAAUAUGGCACACGGGCGGAAUUGUUUAGGAUCCACGCGAUAUCCCAUAGGGUCAUACACCAUAUCAUCGCACCAAAAAAAGGGACGCAGGUAGCCCCUCCCUCCGAUGACGACAAAGAACUUUGGUCGACCCUUGAUGCG